Non-coding RNA from Leptonychotes weddellii (Weddell seal), 3187 nucleotides. The record is from RefSeq and is a predicted model, not a curated record. Lineage: Eukaryota; Metazoa; Chordata; Mammalia; Carnivora; Phocidae.
CCUCUUCCCCACUGAUGGAUUUUCCAGCAACUCAAAGUUGACUCCCGCUAGUAAAGUUACUAAAUGUGAUGUUAUUGCUCUAAUUAGUGGUGACAAAAGAUCAAUUAAUGUUAUAAUUAAAAACAGUGUCUAGAUCUGUUGUUUGUGGUGAACAAAUGUGACAAUUACUUUGUUCAUUGACAUAGAUGUGUUGAAUUUCCUCUCUAGAUUUUAAGGGGAUGCAUUUUAGUGCUGAUGUGCGCAUUUAACUGUGGACAGUAGGAACAAGGCAAGCAUAUUAGGGAAAGAAUAGGGCCCCUAAUGUCUAAGCUAGAGCCAUAUUUUAACAUACUUGACACCUUUCCUUGGUGCCUGGUGCUAUAUCAGCAACUUGUACUCACUGGCUAUGGAGCCUCACGCUUUUAAUAUUUUAUCACUAAAUGCUUUAAGUGUUUAUGUUGCAAAAAGAAAAGGAAAAAAAAAAUUCCCACUUGGACUCUCAGCCCACAUGAACAGGACAAUAUAUGAUAACCAUGUCAUUGAUGAUUUUCGUCCUAUGCAUGGCAGUGAUGUUUAAGUUGAUGGGGUAGAAUAGUGAGUAUGUGAUUUUUGCAAAUCUGGUUGGAUUUUCUUCUGAUACAGAGCAAGCUGUUUUUCAUACAUUGAAGCCUGGGAAAGCUAUGUUACUGUAAAAAGAGUAACCGUAUCUCUUUCCUGAGCUAUUGCCAAGCAGAUGUAGACUUUUGGAAUGUGCCCAGAAAACUUCUCCAGCUGAUACUUUGGUGACUUGUUCCUACUUCUGGCUUUACCAGCACCUAUUUAAAUAGCAGAGGAACAGGAUUUUGUGUUGGUAGGUCACAGUUUUACACGUUUCUCGACAAGCAGUUAAAUCUAGGGAAAGUAAUAUUGAUAGAAAUGAAGUAAACCCAAUUGCUUUUGAAGGGUAGCAGUGAAGAUAUGACCAGCUUUGCUAAUGUCAUUUUUUGACCAAAAAAGAAUCAAGAAAAUCCAUCUAAAAAGUUCUCUGAAAGAUUGGCAUUGAAUGUCAAACAAGGCAAUCCACAAUUACUAAAAGAAUCUCACCUUUUAACUUCAUCCCAUAAAUGGAUCAUGCUCAGUGGAUCUGUCUGAGCAACACGUGGUUUGAGUUUAAAUUCUUAGAUUACUGACUCCCACCGUCAUGCCUCAGUAUUCUUUCCAUGGUAUUACUACUGUAAAGGCUAUUAGACGUGGGGAAAUAUCAACAAUGUGAGGUUCACAAAUUUACCAAGGAAUGAGCUCUUUCUGUAACAUCAGCUCAGAAACAACAAACGCUAAUAUUAUAAUCUCAGGUAACUUGGUAACAAUGGAAAUCCUGUAAACCUUGAAGCUAGUGGGCUUUUGACAUGGAUGGUAAAAGAAGGAAGCUAGUUGAAUUCAUUUGCUCUGUUGCUGUCUAAAUAAGACAAACGAGAGAAGGAGGGAACAAAGGAACUAAAAUGUUUUUUUAGGAGGAGUUGGAAGAUGAGGAGUAAUACAACACGCUAGAUAUAUAUGUUAAAAACUUACAACAAAUCAUAGAUCAUACUAAAGGAUUACUGAAGUUUAAAAUAUGGCUGAGGGUAUAGAUGUCAGAUUUUUCUUACACAAUAGUGGGUCUUUUGUUUCAGAGUUCACUCUUGGCCAGAAACUCCCUACCACUGUGUUAAUUUCCUGUGGAUCUUUCAUUCAGCAACAGAACUAGAGAUGGGGAGCAGACACCCCCCCACCCCCAGGCUUUUUAAGACUGUGCUUUCUGUAGAUUAAAAAGAAGAAAGAAAAAAGAACAAACUUUUCUAAACAAGAUGUCCAUGUGCAUUCUUUAAGAUCCUUUGUGUAUGCUUAAAACGAUCCUUAAAAAAAGCUCUCUCCAUAAUUUUGAACCUCUCCUUUUUCUAAAGUCUUUUAUAGCCAUUUUUUUUCCUUCUCAGCAUGUGAACAAAUGUGUAACUCGAAUAGAUGUUACUUUGCUCUUUGCUUAGAUUGUUUUAAAAGGCUAGCUGUGUGGAGGAAUGAAGAAGGAAGAGAGGCAGGAGUGGCUGGGGUUUAUUUGUUCUGUGUUGACCUAAUGAGUGCAGGUCUUAAAAAAUAAUAAAUAUUUAUAUGUGAUCUUAAUUUUUAAUGAGUCUCAUAAACUGGCUGGUAUAGAAAAGUGUAUGAGAAGCCAUAUAUAUUAAGCUAUACAUAUUGUAAAUACAUGCACAUGCACACUAGAAUGCUUUAGCAGGGAAAAGGCCUUAUUGAUCUUGUUCACUGUUGUUUUCCUGGUAUCUAGAGCAGUGCCUGACGCAUAACUGGCACUCAAUGAAUAUUUGUUGAGUUUAAAAAAAAAAGAAAUAGGUAGCGUUAUAUAGUGGGAUAGCAUUAGAUUGGAAUUCAGAGGACCCGGAGUCUACUUCCAGUGCUGCCAUUAACAAAGUAUGUGAAGUUGCUGAAGUCAUUUAAUUUCUUUGCUCCUCUGUUGCUUAAAAACUGGAACCUUUGCCUUAGUGUUUUUUGUUUUUUUUUUUUUUAAUGAUUAAAUGAUACCUGAAGGAUACAAAAGUGCUUUGGAAACUACAGAGUGCUUUCAAGAAGUGUGAGUAUAUGUGUGUAUGUACAGAAAAUCCUUUAUCUCUUUGCUUCUCAAUUUCUUUUCUUAGGAAAAUCAGAUUAUUUAAAUCCCAUUAUGCACAGCUCUCCUCUGCUCUUCCUAAGCCUCUGUAUUCCAUUACCUCCAGUAAAUCAGAAAAAGGUGGUGAGUCAGGCUAUUGUAGAAGGCAAGGUCUGCUGUUUUUCAUGACCAUUUUACUGUGUGGAACUCUAAACUCUCCAGUGCUUAUGUCUCAUGGAGUUUGUUACCUGUUUCAGCCAUACGGGAUGUAAUGUUUGACAUGGGGUCUCCUCCAGAUGACCACUGCAAGAUUCUUUGAUGACCAGGUUAAAUUGAAGGAGGCUAAAUUAGAUGGAGUGAAGAUUAUGUCAAGAAAAAAAAGAAAGAAAGAUACGUGAUUAUGGCAACUUUGCCCCUUAGAAAGCCAAAGAGCAAGAGUGUUCUUUCAUUUAUUUUUAGUCAAACAAAAAUUAAUCUCAAAUAAUGACCUCUUGCACCUGUUCCCUUAGAAAGGGAAAGAACCUUGUUGGUCAAACUGAUUUGUGGACGAACCUGAGCUCUCACUUGCUAAUAAAAGAAUUAGUCAUUUUAAACAUA